Molecule: ribosomal RNA, 468 nt
Filed under: Clostridioides difficile
Lineage: Bacteria; Bacillati; Bacillota; Clostridia; Peptostreptococcales; Peptostreptococcaceae
Description: bacterial SSU rRNA
Rfam family: Bacterial small subunit ribosomal RNA
Source: RNAcentral
GAUGUUGGGUUAAGUCCCGCAACGAGCGCAACCCUUGUCUUUAGUUGCCAUCAUUAAGUUGGGCACUCUAGAGAGACUGCCAGGGAUAACCUGGAGGAAGGUGGGGAUGACGUCAAAUCAUCAUGCCCCUUAUGCUUAGGGCUACACACGUGCUACAAUGGGUAGUACAGAGGGUUGCCAAGCCGUAAGGUGGAGCUAAUCCCUUAAAGCUACUCUCAGUUCGGAUUGUAGGCUGAAACUCGCCUACAUGAAGCUGGAGUUACUAGUAAUCGCAGAUCAGAAUGCUGCGGUGAAUGCGUUCCCGGGUCUUGUACACACCGCCCGUCACACCACGGGAGUUGGAGACGCCCGAAGCCGACUAUCUAACCUUUUGGAAGAAGUCGUCGAAGGUGGAAUCAAUAACUGGGGUGAAGUCGUAACAAGGUAGCCGUAUCGGAAGGUGCGGCUGGAUCACCUCCUUUCUAAGGA